RNAcentral lists this long non-coding RNA (219 nucleotides) under Lathyrus oleraceus (garden pea). Its description in RNAcentral is "Pisum sativum (pea) long non-coding RNA (PSAT_LNC032067)". Lineage: Eukaryota; Viridiplantae; Streptophyta; Magnoliopsida; Fabales; Fabaceae. The record is from RNAcentral.
UGGUAUCUUGUGUCAUGGAUCCAACUUCAAGUAUCAAUGUUUAAUUGCCUUGCAUUCCAAGCUUACUUCAACAUAUCUGAACUUCAAAUUUGGACUUAUAGCAAUCAUUUGAUGGGCCUAUGUGCGCCCAUGCAGCUACUUACAUCACUUUGCCAAUUUUGGAAACUUGAAUGGAGUGUGCAAUUAACACUUGAAUUCUCUAUAAAUUAAAGCUCAAUU